GACGAACGCUGGCGGCGCGCCUAACACAUGCAAGUCGAACGAGCGAGAGAGAGCUUGCUUUCUCGAGCGAGUGGCGAACGGGUGAGUAACGCGUGAGGAACCUGCCUCAAAGAGGGGGACAACAGUUGGAAACGACUGCUAAUACCGCAUAAGCCCACAGUGCCGCAUGGCACAGAGGGAAAAGGAGCAAUCCGCUUUGAGAUGGCCUCGCGUCCGAUUAGCUAGUUGGUGAGGUAAUGGCCCACCAAGGCGACGAUCGGUAGCCGGACUGAGAGGUUGAACGGCCACAUUGGGACUGAGACACGGCCCAGACUCCUACGGGAGGCAGCAGUGGGGAAUAUUGCACAAUGGGGGAAACCCUGAUGCAGCGACGCCGCGUGGAGGAAGAAGGUCUUCGGAUUGUAAACUCCUGUUGUUGAGGAAGAUAAUGACGGUACUCAACAAGGAAGUGACGGCUAACUACGUGCCAGCAGCCGCGGUAAAACGUAGGUCACAAGCGUUGUCCGGAAUUACUGGGUGUAAAGGGAGCGCAGGCGGGAAGACAAGUUGGAAGUGAAAUCCAUGGGCUCAACCCAUGAACUGCUUUCAAAACUGUUUUUCUUGAGUAGUGCAGAGGUAGGCGGAAUUCCCGGUGUAGCGGUGGAAUGCGUAGAUAUCGGGAGGAACACCAGUGGCGAAGGCGGCCUACUGGGCACCAACUGACGCUGAGGCUCGAAAGUGUGGGUAGCAAACAGGAUUAGAUACCCUGGUAGUCCACACUGUAAACGAUGAUUACUAGGUGUUGGAGGAUUGACCCCUUCAGUGCCGCAGUUAACACAAUAAGUAAUCCACCUGGGGAGUACGACCGCAAGGUUGAAACUCAAAGGAAUUGACGGAAGGG
RNAcentral lists this ribosomal RNA (880 nucleotides) under uncultured bacterium. RNAcentral's name for it is "bacterial SSU rRNA". It matches the Rfam family "Bacterial small subunit ribosomal RNA", at positions 28 to 921 of the family's 1533-position model. The record is from RNAcentral.